Molecule: ribosomal RNA, 497 nt
Filed under: Triticum aestivum (bread wheat)
Lineage: Eukaryota; Viridiplantae; Streptophyta; Magnoliopsida; Poales; Poaceae
Description: partial small subunit ribosomal RNA
Source: RNAcentral
CCCUCCUCAGCGCGCCCCAGUGCGGCCCCCAUUUCCUGGACCGGGUCCACCAAGAGCUGCUCGGCACACGUAUCCCCUCGUCCUAGGCAGAAGAUCGUCUCCUUUUUGCUCUUCCCACACCUCUCGCUCCAGCGACGGCCUCGAGACGGCCUCGCUCCAACUAAACCACAACGCAAAAGUCCAGGCCCAUAACCCAACGACCUCCUUCCCUCCUCCGCAACCGUGUCACGACGUCCUCGACCAGUCGACGAGUGCACUUCUUAGAGACGACGAGUGUACCUCCGUGAAAAAAAGAAAGAAAACGGCUACCUCCGUGGCCCACUUCGUGGGCACUGAAAAGCCCUCGCCAAUAAAGAAGCUUCGUGGCCGACCGUGGCCUUCGUUUACAAACGAAGAGGGGGGGAAAGAUUCGUGGGCACGUCAGGUUAGAACUUUUUUUUUGGCCCAAAAAAAGAGACCGUGGACAGAUUCGUGGACGGCAACAUGUCCCGGAAUCU